Molecule: long non-coding RNA, 3055 nt
Organism: Stegodyphus dumicola
Lineage: Eukaryota; Metazoa; Arthropoda; Arachnida; Araneae; Eresidae
Source: RefSeq, a predicted model, not a curated record
AGAUUCUUUGGAGUGGUUGAAAUUAGGCGGUAACCAGUUAUCUUCCAUACCUUAUUUGGCACUUCGAAAUUUCAGUAGAUUACGACAACUCGAUCUUCGAUGUAAUUUAAUCUCUAGAGUUGAGAUUAUAUCGUUUGACACCUAUGGCAAAACACUCAAAUUCAUUUUUCUUCAAAAAAAUAGCAUCCAGACGAUAGAAGAAGGAGCUUUGGAUGUGCUGGAGUCUGCGGAAUGGUUGUAUCUUCAUUCGAACGAGCUGAGGGAGCUGCGCUACGACACAUUCAAACCUGUGAUUGAUAAUCUGCACGUGCUAGACCUUCACGGUAACCCUUACCAUUGUGAUUGCGAUGUGUUGUGGUUCCGUGACUGGCUUCUUUACAAAGGGCAGAACGUAGCCAACCUUCCAAAAGAAACACGUUGCAAGGCACCAGAAGAACAUGCGCAAAAGCCCAUCGUCAAACUCACUAAUAGUAGCUUUGUUUGCUCUAGUGCUAAUGGUGACUCGAGCAAACCGACCAAUAACAUCGGAGUUUUUUCAUUAUUCUUCCUGUCUAUUUUCAUGUUUUUUAUGUGUAGAUAAUACAUGACCGUGAACUGCUUGAAGUUUCUACAUCUGCGAUUUUAUUUUUUUCAGCUUAUUUGUUAUGAUUGUGCAAAUGUACUGAGUAUUCAAAAAUCGUAUUAGUGUAUUUCUUUGGACUUUGAUAGGAGAUAAAGAAGAAAUGUUAUCAAAAGGAAUUUGAUUUAUCGACGCAGUUCUAAACAUUGGCAUAAGUACAUUUGUGUAUAAUAUUCAUUAAUAAUUAAAUACUCAAUCGAUUUGUACGAUAUUCUGUAAUACUCCAUGAAUUCAUUAACAAAACAAUAUUCGUAUUUUUUGUAAAUUGAAAAGGCAUUUAUGGAUAGCAAAUAUCAUUCAGUAUGAAAAUAUUUUGAAAUUGUAGAUUAACAAAAUGUUAUCCUAAUUUCAGUUUAAAACUGCAUAAUGUAUUUGAUAUUUAAGAUCAAAAUAAAUAAAAAUGUCAUUUGCAUUUUCUUUAAGUUUUUUUAUUAUAUUCCCCGUCUGAAUAUAUGUAUUUGCACAAAAUUUACAUAUUUAAAAAGUGCUUUCAUAAAAAUCUUCCUGAAAUAAAUAAUAACUUGCAGCUAGUGAUCCUGAAAAAUAAGGUUUGCUAAAGCUCCUACGUUCCAUGUAAAUCGUGUAGCAAAAUAAGCGUAUGAAGGAACUCCUACUAUAUAAUUUGCGCUCAAAUGUAAAAACUUAAGUAUCAAACAAUGUAAAUGCUUUUUAGCUUUUUUCCCCUCAAUUUUACAUCUUAUUUUACUUAUACUUAGGAAUUUUUUCGGUAUUCAUAUUUUGCAGUAAUGAUAAAUUAAUUAUUAUUAUUAUUGUUUAAUAAAUUCAUAUUAUUUGUUUGCAGAAUCAAAAGCUGAAUCAUUGAGACAAAUUCUACAGCUAUCAACAUUAAAUUUUAAUCAACACAUAUAGUAUUUAACUCAAAGUUUAGUGACGUAAGCAUUGAAAAAGUAUAGACAGGAGAUUAGAUUUGAAAUUCAAAGAUUGAUAUAUCAUAUGCCUUUUCAUAUGCUCAUAUAUUAUUAUGUCUCACUCAUAAAAGUAAAAAAUAAAAAUUCAGUGAUGUGUUGAUAAAAUUUUUGUUCUACUUUGUACCAGUUAAUUUUUGCUACAUACCUGACUUCUUGAACAAAAUUAAGAUGCUUUCAAAAUUAAAAAAAAAAAAAAAAAAAAAACGCACACCAUCUUUUUAUACUUUUUAUUGUCGUAUUAACUUCAAAUGGCAAUGAGUAUAACUUAACGCGGAAUUGAUGUAGCAGUUCAAAGUUAUUUUGUUUCCUCUUGCUUCGUGACCGUUUAAAAGUAUCUUGAUAGUAAAGUACUGUUAAGUAAAUUGAAUAGUUAUCAAACAUUAAUUAAAAAGGAUUUUUAAGAAAUUUAAAAUUACUUUAAAAUAUACAUCUCAUUUCUUUCUCUUGGGGAAAGGAAAGAAAUAAAAUGGUGAAAUAUCUAUUUUUAUUAAGUUUUUAAAAAAUAUCAAUGACUAAGAGAAUGAUGUAAGUAUUAAAAUUGUCAAAGCAUUUUUUUUUAACUUUUAAGACUAUGAAAUUCACUAUUUUCAUUGUUUUCGGAGUUAAGUGAUACUUAAUAAUGACUGCAAAAUUAUUUGAAUGUAAUUUCCACAUUGUUUCUCACACUUAAUUACGUGUUGUGUUCAGAAAGGAAAAAUUUUAAAGUGUUGUUUUUUCCCCCACUUUUAAAAAGUAACUGCUAGAAAUAUAAUUAUUUAAAAUCAUUUCUUGUAAUCAAAAUAUAUUUUUAAGUCUUUUUUAAUUAUAAUUUAUUGUUACUGAAAAAAUGAAAUUAUAUUAUUGAUUAUAAAAAUUGUAUUUUAGAAGCACAAUUCUUUUUUCAGAAAAUGUGUUAAAUGUUCACAUCUUUCUCAAAUAAAUUAUCAUCAUCUGACUUUUAUAUCGACCAAAAAAAUCUUAAUUUAAUAAUUUUCAUUUGAUUAUGAUAACAUAUUACUGUUUAAUUUGCAUCAUCAUGGAUUCGAAGCCUCACAAUUGCAUUUUCUAUGUGAAUUUAAAUAGAAUUGCAAGUGCAUAUUUCUAGAAAUAACUUUAAUUUAUUUAGAGCAAAUAAAGUGAAACAAAGAUAUGUUAAAAUAUAUAUAAAACUAUUAAGUUUUUGUUUUCUCCUGUACAGUCAUAUACGAAAUUUCGUUCAGUGUUGUGACAAUUUGCAAACAAAUUUGUAUUACAAGCAGCUUUGAGCUUUUUCUUGCACAAGAUUUUCUGUAUAGGAGUAAUAAAUGUGUGUUCUGUCUUAAUGUAUAAAUGUGUUAAAUCAAAUACGUCAUUAAAUUGUACAUAUCGAAUCACGUGAAAUGAAUUGUACCGCGGAUUGUAUAACACGUGAUACUAUGUUUUUUUAUAUUUUAUCACUUUUAUGUAUAUAAAUGAAUAUAUAUAUAUAUAUAUAAUAAAUAAACAUAUCCUUGUUGUAUCAUUAGCAAUAAAACUGUGCCCUCACGGC